UCCGUCGGCUACGACGAGGAAUGUUCCAGUUGGUCUGAUCACUGGAACAGCCUGCUCGUGAAAUUAACAUCAUAUAAGUGGCUCAGCACUCCACAGAUAUAUGUACCCUUAACGUAGUUCUCAGGGAGAUUCGGCAUGACAUAGAAUGCGACAAGGCUGGCCCUUUGAAAUACAGGUACUACUCAUUUUUUGCCAGCUGAGUGGACUGGAACAACGUGAAA
This is a long non-coding RNA of Octopus sinensis (East Asian common octopus), 221 nucleotides long. RefSeq lists it as uncharacterized. The record is from RefSeq and is a predicted model, not a curated record. The transcript is spliced from 2 exons. NCBI's taxonomy places the organism in Eukaryota, Metazoa, Mollusca, Cephalopoda, Octopoda, Octopodidae.